This 253-nucleotide ribosomal RNA is filed under the name uncultured bacterium. Its description in RNAcentral is "partial 16S ribosomal RNA". It matches the Rfam family "Bacterial small subunit ribosomal RNA", at positions 524 to 776 of the family's 1533-position model. The record is from RNAcentral.
UACGUAGGGUGCAAGCGUUGUCCGGAAUUAUUGGGCGUAAAGGGCUCGUAGGCGGUCCAUCGCGUCGGGAGUGAAAAGCUGGGGCUUAACCCCAGUCCUGCUUCCGAUACGGGUGGACUAGAGGUAGGUAGGGGAGAUCGGAAUUCCUGGUGUAGCGGUGAAAUGCGCAGAUAUCAGGAAGAACACCCGUGGCGAAGGCGGCUCUCUGGGACGGUACUGACGCUGAGACGCGAAAGCGUGGGGAGCGAACGGG